UCCGGCUUAUCACCGGCAGUCCCCUUAGAGUGCCCAACUGAAUGAUGGCAACUAAGGGCGAGGGUUGCGCUCGUUGCGGGACUUAACCCAACAUCUCACGACACGAGCUGACGACAGCCAUGCAGCACCUGUGCUGGGACUCCGAAAAGGGGCCGUGGUUUCUCACGGCUUUCCCCAGCAUGUCAAGGCCAGGUAAGGUUCUUCGCGUUGCAUCGAAUUAAUCCACAUAAUCCACCGCUUGUGCGGGUCCCCGUCAAUUCCUUUGAGUUUUAACCUUGCGGCCGUACUCCCCAGGCGGUCAACUUCACGCGUUAGCUUCGUUACCAAGGAAUUGCUUCCCCGACAACCAGUUGACAUAGUUUAGGGCGUGGACUAC
This 376-nucleotide unclassified non-coding RNA is filed under the name uncultured Gammaproteobacteria bacterium. RNAcentral's name for it is "contains 16S-23S intergenic spacer region". The record is from RNAcentral. Lineage: Bacteria; Pseudomonadati; Pseudomonadota; Gammaproteobacteria.